GGGGGUGUAGCUCAGUGGUAGAGCAUUUGACUGCAGAUCAAGAGGUCCCUUGUUCAAAUCGAGGCACCCCCU
This is a non-coding RNA of Melanotaenia boesemani (Boeseman's rainbowfish), 72 nucleotides long. NCBI's taxonomy places the organism in Eukaryota, Metazoa, Chordata, Actinopteri, Atheriniformes, Melanotaeniidae. The record is from the annotation of a RefSeq genome assembly.